CAAAAAGCAAAUCAGACAAUUGCGUCAAAUUGAUCAUCUAUCAGAUUCCAAAGGCCUCCUGGAGCUUUGCCAUCAUCUAUGCUAGGAUAUGAGGCUCUCACUGGUGGUUUAGAUGAUUUUGCUUUUGAAGAUUUUCUCAAUUUGCCACAAGAUUCAGAAACUUUAGACCACUCGACAUGCACCACGGAAUGGAAGUUCACAGAUGGAAGUUCGCAUUGGCAUAUCGAAAGGACCUGUCGUCCGAGUGUCAUCUAAUUUAAUGUCUCAGCAUGCUCUGUUAUGCGCAUUCGCAAUGUUUGUUUUGUGGAUCAUUUCAAAUUUCAACUUCAUACUGUGAACUAUUUUUUCCUCCUCUAUUAAUGAAUGAUAAAAACGUCCAAUAUACUCAGCGAUCAAUUUGAACAUGAAACACUGGUGCAGAAAGAGCUAAGACGCUGGAAUACCAUUUGUAUUUUCUCCAUAUUUCUUA
Molecule: long non-coding RNA, 469 nt
Organism: Zingiber officinale
Lineage: Eukaryota; Viridiplantae; Streptophyta; Magnoliopsida; Zingiberales; Zingiberaceae
Exons: 3
Source: RefSeq, a predicted model, not a curated record